This 253-nucleotide ribosomal RNA is filed under the name uncultured bacterium. Its description in RNAcentral is "partial 16S ribosomal RNA". It matches the Rfam family "Bacterial small subunit ribosomal RNA", at positions 524 to 776 of the family's 1533-position model. The record is from RNAcentral.
UACGUAGGGGGCAAGCGUUGUCCGGAUUUAUUGGGCGUAAAGAGCGUGUAGGCGGCCAGGUAGGUCUGCUGUGAAAACUCGAGGCUUAACUUCGAGCUGUCGGUGGAAACUGUCUGGCUAGAGUCCGGAAGAGGAGAAUGGAAUUCCUGGUGUAGCGGUGAAAUGCGCAGAUAUCAGGAAGAACACCCGUGGCGAAGGCGGUUCUCUGGGACGGUACUGACGCUGAGACGCGAAAGCGUGGGGAGCGAACAGG